RNAcentral lists this long non-coding RNA (210 nucleotides) under Gossypium raimondii (Peruvian cotton). RNAcentral's name for it is "long non-coding RNA (GRAI_LNC004168)". Lineage: Eukaryota; Viridiplantae; Streptophyta; Magnoliopsida; Malvales; Malvaceae. The record is from RNAcentral.
AAAACAACAAAUGAGGAAUGGAGGAGAAGAGUGAAAGGGCGGCCAAGAUGAUUAUGCCCAAAAUCUACCAUCACCUGCAUGCAUGCUCCUACCAAGAGACUAUGACCAUUCCUCAUUGAAGGGCAAGGAGCCAUGACCAUCAAAAGCGACUAAGGCCUCAACCACCAAACAAAGCAGAGCUGGUGUGGUGGGUCCAAAGCCUAGCGCGAU